RNAcentral lists this ribosomal RNA (548 nucleotides) under uncultured Dechloromonas sp. RNAcentral's name for it is "bacterial SSU rRNA". It matches the Rfam family "Bacterial small subunit ribosomal RNA", at positions 372 to 911 of the family's 1533-position model. Lineage: Bacteria; Pseudomonadati; Pseudomonadota; Betaproteobacteria; Rhodocyclales; Azonexaceae. The record is from RNAcentral.
UGGGGGCAACCCUGAUCCAGCCAUGCCGCGUGAGUGAAGAAGGCCUUCGGGUUGUAAAGCUCUUUCGGCCGGGAAGAAAUCGCACAGGCUAAUACCCUGUGUGGAUGACGGUACCGGAAUAAGAAGCACCGGCUAACUACGUGCCAGCAGCCGCGGUAAUACGUAGGGUGCGAGCGUUAAUCGGAAUUACUGGGCGUAAAGCGUGCGCAGGCGGUUUGGUAAGACAGAGGUGAAAUCCCCGGGCUCAACCUGGGAACUGCCUUUGUGACUGCGAGGCUAGAGUACGGCAGAGGGGGGUGGAAUUCCACGUGUAGCAGUGAAAUGCGUAGAGAUGUGGAGGAACACCGAUGGCGAAGGCAGCCCCCUGGGCCGAUACUGACGCUCAUGCACGAAAGCGUGGGUAGCAAACAGGAUUAGAUACCCUGGUAGUCCACGCCCUAAACGAUGUCAACUAGUUGUUGGGUGGGUAAAACCAUUUAGUACCGUAGCUAACGCGUGAAGUUGACCGCCUGGGGAGUACGGGCGCAAGGUUAAAACUCAAAGGAAUU